Molecule: long non-coding RNA, 150 nt
Organism: Eriocheir sinensis (Chinese mitten crab)
Lineage: Eukaryota; Metazoa; Arthropoda; Malacostraca; Decapoda; Varunidae
Exons: 4
Source: RefSeq, a predicted model, not a curated record
GGCGCCCGCUCUUGAACUGGGGCGGUUAGGUUAGGUUAAGUUAGGAUAGGCUAGGUGUAGGUGGUGGCAGGUUAGGUUAAGUUAGGAUAGGAUAGGUGUAGGUGGUGGCAGGUUAGGUUAAGUUAGGAUAGGCUAGGUGUAGGUGGUGGC